RNAcentral lists this ribosomal RNA (468 nucleotides) under uncultured bacterium. RNAcentral's name for it is "partial 16S ribosomal RNA". It matches the Rfam family "Bacterial small subunit ribosomal RNA", at positions 28 to 507 of the family's 1533-position model. The record is from RNAcentral.
GACGAACGCUGGCGGCGUGCUUAACACAUGCAAGUCGAACGGAAAGGCCCUGCUUUUGUGGGGUGCUCGAGUGGCGAACGGGUGAGUAACACGUGAGUAACCUGCCCUUGACUUUGGGAUAACUUCAGGAAACUGGGGCUAAUAUCGGAUAGGAGCUCCUGCUGCAUGGUGGGGGUUGGAAAGUUUCGGCGGUUGGGGAUGGACUCGAGGGUUAUCAGCUUGUUGGUGGGGUAGUGGCUUACCAAGGCUUUGACGGGUAGCCGGCCUGAGAGGGUGACCGGCCACAUUGGGACUGAGAUACGGCCCAGACUCCUACGGGAGGCAGCAGUGGGGAAUAUUGCACAAUGGGCGGAAGCCUGAUGCAGCAACGCCGCGUGCGGGAUGACGGCCUUCGGGUUGUAAACCGCUUUCGCCUGUGACGAAGCGUGAGUGACGGUAAUGGGUAAAGAAGCACCGGCUAACUACGUG